CACCUCUAGCAUUUCCAGUAUUAGAGGCACUGCCUGCCCAGUGACAUCUGUUUAAACGGCCGCGGUGUCCUAACCGUGCAAAGGUAGCAUAAUCACUUGUUCCCUAAAUAGGGACUUGUAUGAAUGGCCACACGAGGGUUUUACUGUCUCUUACUUCCAAUCAGUGAAAUUGACCUUCCCGUGAAGAGGCGGAAAUGACUAAAUAAGACGAGAAGACCCUAUGGAGCUUUAAUUAACUGAUUCACAAAAAACAACACACAAACCUAACCUUCAGGGACAACAAAACUUUUGAUUGAAUCAACAAUUUCGGUUGGGGUGACCUCGGAGAACAAAACAACCUCCGAGUGAUUUAAAUCCAGACUAACCAGUCAAAAUAUAUAAUCACUUAUUGAUCCAAACCAUUGAUCAACGGAACAAGUUACCCUAGGGAUAACAGCGCAAUCCUAUUCCAGAGUCCAUAUCGACAAUUAGGGUUUACGACCUCGAUGUUGGAUCAAGACAUCCUAAUGGUGCAACCGCUAUUAAGGGUUCGUUUGUUCAACGAUUAAAGUCUU
RNAcentral lists this ribosomal RNA (554 nucleotides) under Equus caballus (horse). RNAcentral's name for it is "partial large subunit ribosomal RNA". It matches the Rfam family "Bacterial large subunit ribosomal RNA", at positions 1816 to 2597 of the family's 2925-position model. The record is from RNAcentral. Lineage: Eukaryota; Metazoa; Chordata; Mammalia; Perissodactyla; Equidae.